Cyprinodon tularosa is the source of this 459-nucleotide long non-coding RNA. RefSeq lists it as uncharacterized. The record is from RefSeq and is a predicted model, not a curated record. The transcript has 2 exons. NCBI's taxonomy places the organism in Eukaryota, Metazoa, Chordata, Actinopteri, Cyprinodontiformes, Cyprinodontidae.
CACAGGUAUAAUUUAAUGCUUUUGAACUGCAUCCCUCAUUCUGCUUUGAGCUGCAAGAUUUCAUCCUCGGUGGCGAGUAGGUUGGUCGCUGACUUCCUCUUUGUUUCUUCCAGCUCCCUCUGAACAUCCAUGAGCCUGUGACCGAGUCCAGCUGGAGGCGAGUGGAGAUCAGCUGAACCUCCAUCUUCUUCAUGUCGCUCUCAUGGGAGCAAGAGAGCUCCCUGAUCUGUCUGUCCUUCUCUGCUGAAUCCUGCAUAUGCAAACACAUCACCCCAAUUAACAGAGGGAUGAUUGUAUUAUUAAACUGGAUGAAAGCAGCGUAAAUGAUGACUGGGGACCUGGAUGAGCUGCAUGCUGAUGUCUUCAGUGACAGAGGGCCUCGAAAUGAAAAAAACUGUUUCCAAGCCAAGGAAGAAGACGUGUUUUAGGAAUGUCAACUCCAGCAUACUGACCACCUGA